Molecule: long non-coding RNA, 414 nt
Organism: Sceloporus undulatus (fence lizard)
Lineage: Eukaryota; Metazoa; Chordata; Lepidosauria; Squamata; Phrynosomatidae
Exons: 3
Source: RefSeq, a predicted model, not a curated record
GAAGGAAGGAAGGAAGAGAGGAAGGAAAAGCGGAGGAAGGAUGGAGGGAGGAAAGGAUGGGGCAGUCCGGGGCCGGACGGAGGCUCCACGUGGAGCAGCGCAGGUCGGGCGUCGCGGCGGCGGAAGUGAAGACCGGCAAGAGAGAAAGGAGGACAGGCGGGCAGACAGACUGAACACCCGGGCACAGUAAGCAUAGCAGAAACUGGCUGCGGUUCCAGCUUCUUAGGACGUCGGGGGAUACCCCCCCAGACCCUGGAUGCUGAGCCCGAUUAUGGGCGAGCGCCAGACCCACGUCAACAGUCUCUUCCUGAAUGAAGAGUCAUCCAAGCGGCUUGGCAAUGGUGGCCGGGGGCAGCGCCUCCGCCAUGCCCUUGAGAAGUGGGCAGCCCAUGCCAGGAAGUGGAUGUACAGCAU